UCAUAGCUCAGCCGGUAGAGCAAGAGACUCUUAACCUUAGCGCUGUGGGUUCGAAUCCCACGUUGGGCAAAA
Molecule: non-coding RNA, 72 nt
Organism: Podarcis lilfordi (Lilford's wall lizard)
Lineage: Eukaryota; Metazoa; Chordata; Lepidosauria; Squamata; Lacertidae
Source: the annotation of a GenBank genome assembly